This 422-nucleotide ribosomal RNA is filed under the name uncultured bacterium. RNAcentral describes it as "SSU rRNA". It matches the Rfam family "Bacterial small subunit ribosomal RNA", at positions 369 to 808 of the family's 1533-position model. The record is from RNAcentral.
CANUGGGGGAACCCUGAUGCAGCAACGCCGCGCUGAGUGAAGAAGUAUUUCGGUAUGUAAAGCUCUAUCAGCAGGAAAGAAAAUGACGGUACCUGACUAAGAAGCCCCGGCUAACUACGUGCCAGCAGCCGCGGUAAUACGUAGGGGGCAAGCGUUAUCCGGAUUUACUGGGUGUAAAGGGAGCGUAGACGGCAAGGCAAGUCUGAUGUGAAAACCCAGGGCUUAACCCUGGGACUGCAUUGGAAACUGUCUGGCUCGAGUGCCGGAGAGGUAAGCGGAAUUCCUAGUGUAGCGGUGAAAUGCGUAGAUAUUAGGAAGAACACCAGUGGCGAAGGCGGCUUACUGGACGGUAACUGACGUUGAGGCUCGAAAGCGUGGGGAGCAAACAGGAUUAGAUACCCUGGUAGUCCAAGGGCGAAUUC